GAAAUAUAUACAAAUUAGUCUUCUAAACUAAUUAAUAGUGAAAUUCAUUAAUAUUUCU
RNAcentral lists this transfer RNA (58 nucleotides) under Chimarra sadayu. RNAcentral's name for it is "tRNA-Ser". Lineage: Eukaryota; Metazoa; Arthropoda; Insecta; Trichoptera; Philopotamidae. The record is from RNAcentral.